CCUAACACAUGCAAGUCGAACGGUAACAGGAAGCAGCUUGCUGCUUCGCUGACGAGUGGCGGACGGGUGAGUAAUGUCUGGGAAGCUGCCUGAUGGAGGGGGAUAACUACUGGAAACGGUAGCUAAUACCGCAUAAUGUCGCAAGACCAAAGAGGGGGACCUUCGGGCCUCUUGCCAUCGGAUGUGCCCAGAUGGGAUUAGCUUGUUGGUGGGGUAACGGCUCACCAAGGCGACGAUCCCUAGCUGGUCUGAGAGGAUGACCAGCCACACUGGAACUGAGACACGGUCCAGACUCCUACGGGAGGCAGCAGUGGGGAAUAUUGCACAAUGGGCGCAAGCCUGAUGCAGCCAUGCCGCGUGUAUGAAGAAGGCCUUCGGGUUGUAAAUACUUUCAGCGGGGAGGAAGGGAGUAAAGUUAAUACCUUUGCUCAUUGACGUUACCC
RNAcentral lists this ribosomal RNA (443 nucleotides) under uncultured bacterium. RNAcentral describes it as "bacterial SSU rRNA". It matches the Rfam family "Bacterial small subunit ribosomal RNA", at positions 47 to 480 of the family's 1533-position model. The record is from RNAcentral.